UGAGGAAUAUUGGUCAAUGGGGGCAACCCUGAACCAGCCAAGUCGCGUGAAGGAUGAAGGUCUUAUGGAUUGUAAACUUCUUUUAUACAGGAAUAAAUUGGGGGACGUGUCCCCUUUUGCAUGUACUGUAUGAAUAAGGAUCGGCUAACUCCGUGCCAGCAGCCGCGGUAAUACGGAGGAUCCGAGCGUUAUCCGGAUUUAUUGGGUUUAAAGGGUGCGCAGGCGGGAUGUUAAGUCGGCGGUGAAAUUUUGCAGCUCAACUGUAAAAGUGCCUUCGAUACUGGCUUCCUUGAGUGUAGAUGAAGUAGGCGGAAUUUGUGGUGGAGCGGUGAAAUGCUUAGAUAUCACGAGGAACUCCGAUUGCGCAGGCAGCUUACUAAACUACAACUGACGUUCAUGCACGAAGGCGUGGGGAUCAAACA
This 422-nucleotide ribosomal RNA is filed under the name uncultured bacterium. RNAcentral describes it as "bacterial SSU rRNA". It matches the Rfam family "Bacterial small subunit ribosomal RNA", at positions 355 to 774 of the family's 1533-position model. The record is from RNAcentral.